AUUCCAUGAUGGGGACAUUUUCUCAGCAACUCCUUAAACCUCUCCCACACAUCAUACAAUAACUCAACAUCUUCUUGGUGAAAAUUGUUGAUUUCACCUCCUUACCUU
This is a small nucleolar RNA of Humulus lupulus (European hop), 108 nucleotides long. Lineage: Eukaryota; Viridiplantae; Streptophyta; Magnoliopsida; Rosales; Cannabaceae. The record is from RefSeq and is a predicted model, not a curated record.